AGACUAGGAACAAAAGCUAAGAACGCCACGUCCUGUGGCAACGCUUUUGUGACCAACAUCCGUGUUGG
Molecule: small RNA, 68 nt
Organism: Solibacillus silvestris StLB046
Lineage: Bacteria; Bacillati; Bacillota; Bacilli; Caryophanales; Caryophanaceae
Rfam family: Bacillaceae-1 RNA
Source: Rfam